GAAGGAGUCUUGAUUUAUUGAAAAUGGAUGAACACCUGUCUACUGAUGGGGAGUAAUUAAUUAAUUUAUUUUUUAAAUUUUUUUGCAUGUACACUGUUUGCUUUACUUAUCAUAUUGUCUUUAUCUUAACUCACAAGUUUUUCCACUUUUCCCCCUCCAAUUCUCUCUUCCAUCCUGUUUUGGGACAGUGACUGGGUAACUGUGAGGGUCUUAACUGCCUACUGAGAUUAAACCUCAACAACUAAAAAAGGGUUUUGUUCAGUUGCAUAAAAAUAGUUUAGCACUGGCAGGGUUUAAUGUGGUCAAGGUCAAUAUUUGAGAUUCUCUGUAGUAAUAAGAUGGAUAUAUUGAUUAUUGCCGUAAGGAUAUACACUUGCUUUAGCUGAAAUGUCAUUGCCCUCUGCAAGAUGCCUGCCUUUGAGCAACUUGUCAAAAUGCAUGACAUGAAAAUAUUAUUUAUAUAUUCAAAUAGAAAUAGAGACUUAUUUUAGUCUAUAAUAUGCUCAAAGAGUUCUGUUGAAAUAAGAACUUUGAAAAAUGCGCAAUGACCAAAAGUAAGCCACUCAGACUGUUACAGCUCUUGUUGUAAAUGGAGGAGUUUACACAACUAUCUCUUGGCACUACAAACUUGCCAGAGGCAAAUUUGGAUUCAGCAGUUAUUAUAGUUAAUGUCUGAAAGGGGAGCUAAGACAAUUGACAAGUAACCAAUUCUUGCCUGGAAAUGUGUGAAUGUAAUGUUUAAAAGUAGUAUGAAAAAGCAAAUAACUGGAGAUUAGGACCUGAAAAUAACAUGAGAAAGGAACGAGAACAUAAGAUGAAGGAGAUAUUGAAAUAAUUCAAAAUAAUAUUUCAUUGCAAAGCCCAUGUAGCUCUCAGACCAAAACACCAAGGAAAUUAAGCUGUCAUGGUAAAUCAGAGUAAUGUAUGUAUUAAGGAUGUUUGUGAGAGAGAAAAAGAUGGUGACUGAAAUGUGUGACAGUAAAUUGGGAUUCUCCAAAAGGCCUGUAGAAUCAGGUGCCAAAAUUUUGAGUCCUCUGCAGAAUGACUACACCAGAGAAGGAAAACUUACCCCCCAUGAAGAGCCCCAUAUGUUCUGUUGUUAUUCAUAAGUUGGUUUUUGCUGUUUGUUUUCUCAGAAAAUUAGUGACUUUCUACAAAAAGGUUACAGCAUCGGUGGAUGAAGAGGGACACCAUAUACAUGGACUUGUGCAAAUCAUUAUACACUGUCCCAUGCAACAUGGUUGUCUCUAAAAUUGAGACACAGGACUUUACAGGUCAACCAUUUCAUGUACUGUGAAUCUUCUGGACGGUGAUAUGCAAAGAUUUGCAGUCAAUAGCCUGAUAUCUGGCUGAAGAAUAGUGACAAGCAGCAUCCCUUGGGGUUUGGCAUUUGGACUAAUAUUAUUUAGUGUCUUUGUCAGGGAUGUGAACAGUGAGAUUGGGUGUACCCUCAGCAAGUUUGUGGAUGACACCAAGCUUGGUGCUGCAAUCAAUGAACUUGAGUGAAGGUAUGCUAUCCAUGGAGAUCUUGAAGCUUGAGAAGUGGGCCCAUGAGAACCUCAUGAGGUUCAACAGGGCCAAGUGCAGUUCCUGAGUAAAGGCAAUCAAAAACAGGUUAUGUGAUGAGUGGAUUGAAAGCAGCCCUGCAAAGAAGCACUUGGGAGUAUUGGUAGAUAAGGAGCUCAAGAUGUCCUGGCGAAGUGUUCUUGCAGCCCAGAAAGCUCACUGCAUAGUGGGCUGCACCAAAAGCAGUGUGGCUGACAGGUCGAGGGCAAUGAUUCUCUCCCUGUAUACUCUGUUACUGUGAGAGUCCUGGAGUUCUGUGCCCAAUUCUGUGGUCUCCAACACAAGAAAGACAUGGACCUACUUGAGCAGGUCCAGAAGAGGGCCAUGAAGAUAGAGGACCUCUGCUAUGAAGACAGGUUGAUCAGCCUGAGAAGACCUUCAAGCAACUUUCAGAUGACACCAAGCAGAGGGGUGCACUUGUCACACCUGAAGGACAAGAUGCCAUCCAGUGAGACCUAGAUAAGGUCUUGAAUUGAGCCAAUGGAAAUCUCAUGAGGUUCAACAAGUCCAAGUGGAAGGUGCUGCACCUGCAUCAGGGCAAUCCCAGACAUGAGCAGAGACGGGGAUAAGAACUCAUUGUGAGGAGCCCUGCACAGAAGGACUUGGAGUUCUAAUGAAUAGAAGCUGGACAUGAGCCAACAGUGUGCACUUGCAACUCAGAAAGCCAACAGGAUCCUGGGCUGCAUCAAAAGAAAUGUGAGCAACAGGUGGAGGGAGGUGAUAAAACAAGGGGUAAUGACUUUAAACUAGAAGAGAGUAGGUUUAGUUCAGGUAUUACAAUGAAAUUCUUUGUAAUGAGGCUGGUGACAGUCUGGAACAGGGCUGUCCAGAGACGUUGCAGAUGCCCCUUUUGCAGAAAUGCUUACUUAAAGGCCAGGUUAAAUGGGGCUUUAAGCAGCCUGGUCUAGUGAAAUGGUCCCCUUCCUACUGGAGGGUUGGAACUGGAUGAUUUUUAAGGUCCCUUCCAGCCUGAGCUGUUUUAUGAUCCUACGAUUCUGUGAUUAGUCUCUUCUUGGUCGUUAUCCUUUUUUCUUUUCCAUUUUCCUAAUUUUCUAUUUUCCUUUCUACUUUCUCCUGUUAAGUUGUACUACAGGAUGGAUUAAAAAGAAAC
Non-coding RNA from Taeniopygia guttata (zebra finch), 2677 nucleotides. Lineage: Eukaryota; Metazoa; Chordata; Aves; Passeriformes; Estrildidae. The record is from RefSeq and is a predicted model, not a curated record.